UCCUCGGCCAGUAUAGUGGUCAGUAUCCCCUCCUGUCACGCGCGGGGAGACCGGGGUUCGAUUCCCCACUCGGGGAA
Trichonephila inaurata madagascariensis is the source of this 77-nucleotide non-coding RNA. NCBI's taxonomy places the organism in Eukaryota, Metazoa, Arthropoda, Arachnida, Araneae, Nephilidae. The record is from the annotation of a GenBank genome assembly.